RNAcentral lists this ribosomal RNA (179 nucleotides) under uncultured bacterium. RNAcentral's name for it is "partial 16S ribosomal RNA". It matches the Rfam family "Bacterial small subunit ribosomal RNA", at positions 1322 to 1500 of the family's 1533-position model. The record is from RNAcentral.
GAAGCUGGAAUCGCUAGUAAUCGCGAAUCAGAAUGUCGCGGUGAAUACGUUCCCGGGUCUUGUACACACCGCCCGUCACACCAUGGGAGUCGGGAAUGCCCGAAGCCUGUAGUCUAACCGCAAGGAGGACGCAGUCGAAGGUGGGAUUGAUGACUGGGGUGAAGUCGUAACAAGGUAGC